GUGGGUGCAUAUACAAGAGUGACCCUCGGAUCAAGGCUAUUUUCUGGAUUAACCUGCGGUCCUGAAGCAUUUACUGCAGUUAGAGCAGGGGUCCCUGAUCCCCCAGCCACGGUUCGUGGCCUGUUAGGAAUUUGGCUGCACAGCAGGAGCUGAGUGGCAGGCACGGGCUCCCCAAAGGCCAGGAACGAGUCUGGUUUCUGGAACAGCACUGUCUCCUCAGCACCUAGACCUGGGCACAUAGCAGACAACCAAGGAAUGCCCAUCAACGAGAGGAGGCCUCACCUCAUGGCGGCCAUGUGGGGCAGGAAUGACUGUAAUCCCCCCUAACCAAUGGAACAGCUAAGACUCAGAGAGGCUCCGUCGUUGCUCUGGGACCUCGUUGCUGACCCUGGAUGACAGACCACUGCCUAGGAUGAAAUUCCCCUCUGGAUGGAUGGCUUCUGGUUUGGUGAUGGAAUGGAUUCCAGGGCCUCUGAGGAAGGCAGGAAGCCUUGGGACUUGGCAAUCUCCACAGGAGAUGGGGUGUGUGCUAGUGACCCCUGAACAGCACCAGUUUGAACUGGGGGGUCCACUUAUAUGUGGAGUUUCUCUCUCUGCCACCUCUGGGACAGCAAGACCAAUGCCUCCUCCCCCUCCUCCUCCUGAGCCUACUCACUGUGAGUAGGAUGAAGACCUUUAGGAUGAUCCAUUUCCACUUAAUCAAUAGCAGAUAUAUUUUCUCUUCCUUAUGAGUCUUUUAACAACAUUUUCUUUUCUCUAGCUUAUUUUAUUGUAAGAAUACGGUGUUGAAUGCAUAUAACGUGCAAAUACAUGUUAAUCAACUGUUUAUGUUACGGGUAUGGCUUCUGGCCAACAGUAAGCUAUUAAUAGUUAAGUUUUGGGGAAGUCAAAAGUUAUAUGCAAUUUUUUGACUGCACAGGGAGUCAGCACCCCUCACUCCUCAUUGUUCAGGGUCAACUGUACUUGGUUUCCAAGCCUCCCUUAUAAGUCGGUAUGGCCAUGGGACCCAGUUUUAGAUGUGAGAAGAGAAGAAGGGUUGCAUCUGGGAAGGAUUUCUUUCUGGAUGAAAGAUAGUCUUUUGAGGAGCGGCUCCUUGGUCCCUGCCCUGUCCCUCCUGCUGGAGAUGCUGCAUGCAAGGGCCUGAUGUCUGGAAUUGAAGCAUCCAUGUGGUGACCAUGAGACAAGAAGCAUGACAAUAAAAUUUCACUGGGUGGAAGAAUGAGGAAGUCUGGAUUCUUGAUGAUACUGUUGCCGUCUGAACAUGCCCUGUGACCCUGUACUUCUGGGCAUCUGGUUACAUGAGCAAUAAAUAUUCUUACGGC
RNAcentral lists this long non-coding RNA (1322 nucleotides) under Homo sapiens (human). Lineage: Eukaryota; Metazoa; Chordata; Mammalia; Primates; Hominidae. The record is from RNAcentral.